This 497-nucleotide ribosomal RNA is filed under the name uncultured bacterium. RNAcentral's name for it is "partial 16S ribosomal RNA". It matches the Rfam family "Bacterial small subunit ribosomal RNA", at positions 28 to 507 of the family's 1533-position model. The record is from RNAcentral.
GAUGAACGCUGGCGGCGUGCCUAAUACAUGCAAGUCGAGCGAACGGACGAGAAGCUUGCUUCUCUGAUGUUAGCGGCGGACGGGUGAGUAACACGUGGAUAACCUACCUAUAAGACUGGGAUAACUUCGGGAAACCGGAGCUAAUACCGGAUGAUAUUUUGAACCGCAUGGUUCAAAAGUGAAAGACGGUCUUGCUGUCACUUAUAGAUGGAUCCGCGCUGCAUUAGCUAGUUGGUAAGGUAACGGCUUACCAAGGCAACGAUGCAUAGCCGACCUGAGAGGGUUAUCGGCCACACUGGAACUGAGACACGGUCCAGACUCCUACGGGAGGCAGCAGUAGGGAAUCUUCCGCAAUGGGCGAAAGCCUGACGGAGCAACGCCGCGUGAGUGAUGAAGGUCUUCGGAUCGCAAAACUCUGUUAUUAGGGAAGAACAUAUGUGUAAGUAACUGUGCACAUCUUGACGGUACCUAAUCAGAAAGCCACGGCUAACUACGUG